AUUUCCAAUGAGAAAUGCCUGCAUCGCUAAAAUGGGAGCAUGGGUGUAAAUUCUGGGAGGGUGUUAAGGUGACGCAACAGGCAUACGCUUGCUAUGUUCAAUUCCACAAGCCAAUAAAAAUGGCACAUGUUGCUCCCUUAGUAAGCUUCACACGGUAGAAUGGCAUUCUGAAACAACAGUAUGUGUUAGUUCGAGUAAAAGACUUUACAAAGACUAAAAUAAACACAGUCCUAAACAGUGCGCCAUAUUUUACAGUUAAGGCUAAUUUCUCUGGACUUCAAACGAAGAUAUCACUUGUAUAAAUAGCACAAUUUUCUGGGAAAAAAUACUUUACCUAACAAGGGGGCUUGUAUUAUAUGUUCCUGAGGUUGCUCUUGACACCUUCAUCACCAUCGAGGGACAUGCAUGGAGCAAAAUUGUUGUGAGCUUGAACAAAUGGAAGGCCAUUGUGAUGGUUCUGAAUGCCAUCA
This 470-nucleotide long non-coding RNA is filed under the name Setaria italica (foxtail millet). Its description in RNAcentral is "long non-coding RNA (SITA_LNC007236)". Lineage: Eukaryota; Viridiplantae; Streptophyta; Magnoliopsida; Poales; Poaceae. The record is from RNAcentral.